This 30-nucleotide non-coding RNA is filed under the name Halogranum amylolyticum. The record is from RNAcentral. Lineage: Archaea; Methanobacteriati; Methanobacteriota; Halobacteria; Halobacteriales; Haloferacaceae.
AUUACAGACGAACUCUUCUGAGGUUGAAGU